GCAAUCGUAGUGUAGCGGUUAUCAUCCCAGCCUUCCAUUAAAGUGACAGCUGGGGACUCGGGUUCGACUCCCGGCGAUUGCA
RNAcentral lists this transfer RNA (82 nucleotides) under Colletotrichum liriopes. It matches the Rfam family "tRNA". From Rfam's summary of the family: Transfer RNA (tRNA) molecules are approximately 80 nucleotides in length. RNAcentral also lists the same sequence under 1 other name. Lineage: Eukaryota; Fungi; Ascomycota; Sordariomycetes; Glomerellales; Glomerellaceae. The record is from Rfam by way of RNAcentral.